AAGAACAUUAUAGAUUCAUUCUUUGCCACAGAUGAGACCUCCCCUUCUUCCAGCUCCCCUGGAAAUGCAAAAGGAGGUUUCUGUCCAGCCUGCACACAGGUCUCCAGAGGCUGGCAAGUGAGAAAUACACUUUUAAGAGUUAGCAGAGUAGAUUUUGUUAAGGAAAUUCACCCACCCCACACAACUGUUAAAUCACAGACCUGCUAUUCAGCCUCCAUGUGUAAUUAUGUGCCUCUGUGCACAUCACAUUUCCACAAAUUCCUGGUUUCUGUCUUUGAGGAUGCACUAAGUGGAUUCUCAGAUGGUGAACAAAGGCUUUGUGCCCUUUCUCCAUCUACAAGGCUUUUCUUCCUUCCACCCCUCCCCUUUUCUUUAAAGCUUAUGGCCAUUGCAGACUUCUUUUCCUCUGUUCUACCUAAAUAAAUUUUCAGCAGAAAGUCUCACAAAAGACAGACAUUUGCAGCCCAAUGUCUAAGCAAAGAAAACACUGCAUUUUGAGUGAAAUUUCUUAUUACUUUAAAAACCUGAUCAGUAACUUUGAGAUAAAACAAAGUCAAAAAAAUGCCCUUAAAAAAAAAAAAAAAGCCUAAAUAUUUUACAGAGCAGCAAAACCCUGCAGUGGGCACAAAGGUCUCAAUGCCCUGUGGGGAUGAUUCUCCCCUUUCAGCCCAGGGAAAUGCUCAAUCCCUACACACCUCAAAGGGUUCUGUUAUGAACAUCAUCCUCAGCUGUCAAACCCAGCUUGCUCCUGGAGAUAAAUUAAUUAAAAGUCAUCCAUCGAGUCCCUUCUUCUUCACCAAAACCAAGAUCUAGCUUGAAUUACUGAGAAGUACAAAGGUGCUGGAGGAAAAAGCACAGAGAUGUCAAAGCUGCCCCAAGUGGGAUGUUCUAAAAAUGGGACGCUCCAAGUUCAGCAUUUUUCUUGCACCUUGCAUAUCUUGAGGAAAAAAAAGAUAAGGAAAAAGCCCCCACAAUCCACAGAGAUUACAUUUCCACAAUGUCAACUUUUUUUCCUAAAUUCUGAACUUUCCUGACAUAAACAUUACAGGUAACUGAGAAAGCAAAGAGAAGAGAAUACACAGAUUGCCAUUCUAUAAUCAAAUUAGAAAAGAUGAAAGUGCUCCAGAGACUGAGGAGUUCAAAGGCUCAUUUUAUUAACAAAAGGAAGUCUCCAAAGAUUGCAUUGAAACACACACAAGGAGAAGAAGGAAAAAUAAGAAUCCUGUCAGGAUUAACCCCAUCAGCUACAUGAACAGAAACAAAGUUUCCUUCCUGUUAGCUACUUAAACCAAAAUGUGAAAGUUUCACUCUGGGGCUGAGGACUGCCAUUCCUGGGUAACGUGGCAGAGGGAGGGAUCUGAUCUGGUGUUUUUUUCUUUUAAAGUAGUAAGUCCAAAUUGCCUUUGUUGAGCCAGGUGGGUCGGCAGUGGAAAAACAUCAAGGCAGCAGCAAAGCAGCUCCCGCUGACUCAACAGAGCCCUGCUCACUGCUGAGCAUCCAAAAGCAGCACACAGCAACUCUUUGUCUUGACCUAUAAGUAAGAGUGCUCGGACAUACGCAAGGAGAAGGAAAAAAAGAAAAAAAACCAAACACAACUGAAGCAAAUAAUUACGCCUGCUGACAGGACUCAAUCUAAUUAAAGCUCCGAUCUCAAGCCCUGCCCAAGAGGAGGAGUGCACAGCAGCACUCGAUGUGGCAAAUUGUGCUGCAGCUUUGUCCCACAGACCAGCAAAGCAGGGAGGGAUCCACCCCUGGAUCACGGCAGCUUAUUGCAUCAGGCACUGCUGCAGGAAGAUAGGCUGCUCCCUCUCCAUAGGCUCAGUCCCUUAGGUUUAAUUAAACCACUUCUCCUGGAGCUGCCAGACACAGACUCCUGCAUCCAGAGGCAUCAACCACCCCGACCUUUGUUAUCCCCUCCCUUUCCUCCUGUGCGAAUAUCUCUGGGAAUUACUACAGCCAAUUGUACAACACAAUAUGUGUGGCCCCGGCUGGACAUUUUUUUUUUCCUUGGCGCCCCACACUCCAGUUUCUACCCCUGAAAAGAAGGGGUGUCCUGGUACUCACAGGCAAAUGACAGCACCCAGGAUUUUAAACUAAAUAAAUUGGCUGGUUCUAGAGAUCAUUGCUUUAUUUACAAGCAGCUCUCUUGCCAAGGCAUUAUGCUGUACAGUGAUUCAUAAUAAAAACUCACUGAAGUGCUGGCAUAAUUAGAGGGCCAUAAAUCCACUCAUUUAAUGGGGAAACACACGCACAAAUGUGCGAAUACAAGGGACACACGCACAGCUCUGCGUGCAGCUAAGGAGAAUAAUAUGGAUUCAGCCACUUAAAGGAGGCACAUGGAGGGCACACAGGCACAGGUCUGGCAGGUGGUGAAGAGAGGAAAAGGAACUCUACAAGAUCCAUUACCGCACACAGCCAGAGUGCCAAGAUUGAUUUAGGAAAAGACAACCAAAACCUUCUCAGGUAGAGUUAUCAAAUCUGCAAGGACAUGGGAAUGCUGCACGAGAAGAUUUGGGGUCCCCAAGCAUGAACACCUGCAGCCCUGAUCUCUACAGCUCAGCCCAUGCUCAUCCUCUCUGCUCUUCUCACCAGGGGAUGGUCAAGCAUCUGGAGUUUCCAAUGACUGUGACCACAUCCUCCUUGGAUUCGGCAAGCCUUUAAGAGCGAACCACAAAGGAAGCACACAAAUUACUUAUUUAGGGACAAAGAAAAGCUUUUGUUUUCUGUUAUUUUACACAAUGCCAUUCUGACCUGUGUUAUGGAAGAAGAUCCUCCUUGUCCCAAAGGAUGUAUCCCAGUCUUCCAUCUUUAGGACGUAUUCCAUUCCCCUGCCCUUAAGACAAGGUAAUAACAUUUUCCUAACACAAUAAUAUUGUGGUUUUAUACUUCUACAGCAUCUGAAUAA
This is a long non-coding RNA of Prinia subflava (tawny-flanked prinia), 2905 nucleotides long. RefSeq lists it as uncharacterized. The transcript has 3 exons. The record is from RefSeq and is a predicted model, not a curated record. NCBI's taxonomy places the organism in Eukaryota, Metazoa, Chordata, Aves, Passeriformes, Cisticolidae.